UAUAUCAAAUAAGCAUAAGUAGUAGUAAAAUUUGAAGGAUUGCUUUGGUCCAAUGAUAGAACAUCUAUCAUGUUUACUGAUGUGGGUUCAAGUCCU
Long non-coding RNA from Octopus sinensis (East Asian common octopus), 96 nucleotides. RefSeq lists it as uncharacterized. The transcript has 4 exons. NCBI's taxonomy places the organism in Eukaryota, Metazoa, Mollusca, Cephalopoda, Octopoda, Octopodidae. The record is from RefSeq and is a predicted model, not a curated record.